CGGGCAGGCGGCCCGUUAAGUCUGCGGUGAAAUCCCGGGGCUCAACCCCGGAUAUGCCGCGGAUACUGGCGGGCUAGAGACCGGUAGAGGCGAGUGGAAUUCCUGGUGUAGCGGUGGAAUGCGUAGAUAUCAGGAAGAACACCGGUGGCGAAGGCGGCUCGCUGGGCCGGUUCUGACGCUCAGCCGCGAAAGCGUGGGGAGCAAACAGGAUUAGAUACCCUGGUAGUCCACGCCGUAAACGAUGGGCACUAGAUGCCGGGUCUAUAGACGGAUUCGGUGUCGCAGCUAACGCAUUAAGUGCCCCGCCUGGGGAGUACGGCCGCAAGGCUGAA
This 332-nucleotide ribosomal RNA is filed under the name uncultured Gemmatimonadota bacterium. Its description in RNAcentral is "bacterial SSU rRNA". It matches the Rfam family "Bacterial small subunit ribosomal RNA", at positions 568 to 898 of the family's 1533-position model. The record is from RNAcentral. Lineage: Bacteria; Pseudomonadati; Gemmatimonadota.